UACGUAGGGUGCAAGCGUUAAUCGGAAUUACUGGGCGUAAAGCGUGCGCAGGCGGUUAUGCAAGACAGAUGUGAAAUCCCCGGGCUCAACCUGGGAACUGCAUUUGUGACUGCAUAGCUAGAGUACGGUAGAGGGGGAUGGAAUUCCGCGUGUAGCAGUGAAAUGCGUAGAUAUGCGGAGGAACACCGAUGGCGAAGGCAAUCCCCUGGACCUGUACUGACGUUCAUGCACGAAAGCGUGGGGAGCAAACAGG
RNAcentral lists this ribosomal RNA (253 nucleotides) under uncultured bacterium. Its description in RNAcentral is "partial 16S ribosomal RNA". It matches the Rfam family "Bacterial small subunit ribosomal RNA", at positions 524 to 776 of the family's 1533-position model. The record is from RNAcentral.